GCACUACCUAUACAGAAGGUGAAAUGUGCUGCUGGGAUACAUGAAGGUCAUCUUUUCAAGCUUGAAAAAUAUAUGUGGAUACAUGUAGGUCUGGAAAACUAUCAGAAAUAUAUGAUUACAUCAUUAAAGUUACAAUAUAAAUUUCUUCGUCUCUCAUCCUUCUUGGUCUUACAAGCUGUUUUGUCAAUCUUUUUUUACACUUUGGUAUGCCACUUUUUUUUUUAUUGCAGAGCAUUAAUAUCGACAUGAAACCCAAACAAUAUAGGAAAAGGUUACAUUUUCACCUAUAUCUGUAUUCAUCAUGUUGCAAAACAAUAUAUAUCCAUGAUUGGUGAAGUAAUUUCACUCAAGUAUGGGUCCUUUAGCUACCCUACACUACGAUAUUUAUUUAUUCUUCGAUUGAUCCAGUACUUUAUAGUCAUGUCCAUAUUCAUAUUAUGUCUUCAUAUAAUUUCAGUCAGUGGAAAUACCAGAAACAACAUCCUAGCUGGUUUUGGAAUUUUUCCUGCAGACUAUGAAAACACUGCUGUAGUUCUUUGAUUCUUUGAUAACUUGUACAUGUUGUUGUGAUGUAACAAAUUGCUUUUUAUAAGCUACAUGUACAAAAUGAAAGAAAGAAGGUAAGAUAUUAAAGUUAUACUCAAAUAGUUCUUCAUUUUUGGGGUCAAAGGCGACAGGGCAUCCUGCCACUUUUUAAGAUUUGAAAAGAUUUGAUUAUUUCAAUUACAUUUUUUAGAUUGAAAUUAUUUUGUAAAAUUUAUUUAAACAUUUAUGAUAAUUUGAUAAACCUUAGAAAAAUUUAAGGGUUUUGUUUUAAACUUUUUUCUAUAUCUGAUAUACAAAAAAAAUUAAAAGAUAAUCUGCAAUAAAAUGAGAAGUGUUAUUGUCUUUAGACAUUUAUAUAUAGUUCAUAUUUAAAUUGUACUUUUAAACACAUAUUGUCAUUUUUUCCUUAAAAUAAAUUUGCAUUUUGCUUCAUGUAUAACAUUAUAAUUUCAGGUUAGAAUGCAGAACUGGUGAAGAUGAAGAUUAUAAUUGUGAUCUACAUAUUGAUUAAUUUGAAGCAGAAUUUGUUCUUAAGAGUGAAAUAAACAAAAAACAGUGUGUUAUAGGAAUAUGUUCCACUAUUACCACAACAACAAAAAUAUUCAUUGUUUGACUGAGAGAUAAAUGAAUAAAAGUGUUAAUAAAGAGUACUAGACAC
This 1204-nucleotide long non-coding RNA is filed under the name Mytilus galloprovincialis (Mediterranean mussel). The record is from RNAcentral. Lineage: Eukaryota; Metazoa; Mollusca; Bivalvia; Mytilida; Mytilidae.